Pocillopora damicornis (cauliflower coral) is the source of this 1496-nucleotide long non-coding RNA. Lineage: Eukaryota; Metazoa; Cnidaria; Anthozoa; Scleractinia; Pocilloporidae. The record is from RefSeq and is a predicted model, not a curated record.
GUAACCUCUUGUCUCAUUCUCUUCUUACGAUUAUCAAAUGGACAAUAUCGAGAUUGUCACUGCCAUCCAAUCACGUCCGCAUUUCUCGAUAAAGCCUCAGCCUGUGUAAGAAAAGAUAAACACCGGCAUCAUAUGAUCCCAACCCAAAUUUGUAAAGGUAAACUCUCUAUCGCCACAAAGCAAACUCUUCGCAUAAAAACAGCGUUCAACGCACCAAGAGUGCGAUUUACACGAAUAUUCUAUCCUCGUAAUUUUCUCCAGAAGUUUUCUACUAUGAAAGAUGAGCUAAAGACAAAUUAAAUUUGCUAUUUGAUCUAAAACUUGAUGAUCAAGAAAGCUCUCAAGGGAUUGUAACAGAAUAUGAAGAACAAAUAAGCCUUUGAAAGGGUCAAAUGUGUAAUCUGACAAUCGGGUUAUUAUCUAAGCGUGCGAUGGCAAAAAUAUAAUUAUUUUCUUACGUUGUAGACUGGGUAUUCCGAAACAAAUGAGACUAGGAAAUGUAAUUGGGAUUUUAGAGCGUCACUUGAGACAAUAAUCAGGCACAUGAUGAGGCACGAGAGUACGUGGUAGAAUGUGCUGUGCCGUACUCUUUAAUCUUACACGUCACGGAGGCUUGUUAUUUGUCCUUUCAAAAUACCUUUCAUUUGCUAAUCAAGCUUUUGUGUUUAUGCUCCCAUGGGACAGGGUGUGUCGCUUUAACAAUUUACCGCCAAAUUACUCUCAAUGAAUGAAAUCUAUUGCGCUUGGCUGAUUUCGUGAUUAAUGCCGCCGCGAAAUUUAUGAUUCGAUUUUUUGGCGCGCAACCUAACUAAACAUGCUCACCUCAAGCUACGGAGUUAGAUAAUUCUACUUGAUAAGUGAGUGACAUGUAAGUCUUUCUUACACACAUUUCUUAUCCGCUCUUUAUUCACACACCUCUUUUUAAAUUUGAGCAAUAGUGUACGUGUUAUGAUGAAUUUUUUUUUUUUUUACUUUCUGGGUUUAUGUUGAAAAACCUCUUGCGACCAAAACGGAAAGGCAAUUUAUUUUGAGAACAUGGAACCCAAAUACUAAUCUGCUGGAAGAAUCAAACACAAAGAGAGGUCGUGUUAUUUUGAAAGAAAAAAAUAACCAAAUUAAAGAUUGUGUUGUUUUGCCAAGAAUGCAAACGACGUUAUUGAUAAUGUUAACUCGUCUGUGACAUGUCCACUGACCGUGAUUCCGGGCACACAGUCUAUAUGAAUUUCAAAGUUGUUAUUGGAAGGGUUUCGAGGAAAUGGUAAAUAGUACUCUUCUUGGGUCUUUUAAAUUAAUUUCCCGUUUCGGUUUGUUUAUCCUAAAGCUCAGAAAUAGGACAUUACGAGCAGAAAGCUACGGAUAAAACGCCCUCUUGAGUUGUAACAGUAUUGCCGAACGUGCAGUUGCGCAGCCACGAAUAUUCGCGAAAGAGUUUUCGAAUAUCACGAACGAUCCUAUCAGUUGAGGGAAAUAAAUUAAAACAUUCGAACAAGCGGUAA